RNAcentral lists this ribosomal RNA (603 nucleotides) under uncultured bacterium. Its description in RNAcentral is "bacterial SSU rRNA". It matches the Rfam family "Bacterial small subunit ribosomal RNA", at positions 331 to 929 of the family's 1533-position model. The record is from RNAcentral.
CCAGACUCCUACGGGAGGCAGCAGUGGGGAAUAUUGCGCAAUGGGGGCAACCCUGACGCAGCCAUGCCGCGUGAAUGAAGAAGGCCUUCGGGUUGUAAAGUUCUUUCGGUGACGAGGAAGGUUGUUGUGUUAAUAGCGCAACAAAUUGACGUUAAUCACAGAAGAAGCACCGGCUAACUCCGUGCCAGCAGCCGCGGUAAUACGGAGGGUGCGAGCGUUAAUCGGAAUAACUGGGCGUAAAGGGCACGCAGGCGGACUUUUAAGUGAGGUGUGAAAUCCCCGGGCUUAACCUGGGAAUUGCAUUUCAGACUGGGGGUCUAGAGUACUUUAGGGAGGGGUAGAAUUCCACGUGUAGCGGUGAAAUGCGUAGAGAUGUGGAGGAAUACCGAAGGCGAAGGCAGCCCCUUGGGAAUGUACUGACGCUCAUGUGCGAAAGCGUGGGGAGCAAACAGGAUUAGAUACCCUGGUAGUCCACGCUGUAAACGCUGUCGAUUUGGGGAUUGGGCUUUGAGCUUGGUGCCCGUAGCUAACGUGAUAAAUCGACCGCCUGGGGAGUACGGCCGCAAGGUUAAAACUCAAAUGAAUUGACGGGGGCCGCACAAG